GGCAAACAAUAAAAAGAGCGAGGAGGAAGAAGCUUCAAAAAGUAAAAGUUAAGCAUUUUUCAGUCUUCUUGAUUCACAUGGAUGCAUUUUAAUCACAAAAUGGCUCUAAUAAUUAAGCAUAUGUUGCGCUAUGAUGAAUUGCCAGCAAUUCAUCACCCUUUAGUUCGCUAUCUGGAUAGGACUUCUGAAUGUCCAAACAGUCGGGAUCGUUUCUGUGUGCAUUGCAGCUGUUCCCUGCUAUGGAGCUCCGUCAUUGUGCACAACCAGACACCAAACCAAAGGAUCCUUGAAUAUUCCCCAAACGCCACUGCAAAGCUUUCUGUUUUGAGCUCCGCAGUUCCUGUUUAAAGAUGAAAUAUAAAACAGGUCCCUGCCAAACCCCCGGCAGUUCGGCUUAUUGGCGGAGAUGGCGAUGACAUCAUCUGUCUGGAGGAAGGUGUGAAUCUCUGGUUGCGCUGGUGGAGUUUCUGUGUGCCCAUGUAUGUGUAUGCACAUGUGUUUGCGCAUGCUUGGUUUGUGUGCAUGGAUUUGUAUUUUCCCAUAUAUCUGUGUUUGUAUG
Molecule: long non-coding RNA, 559 nt
Organism: Anguilla rostrata (American eel)
Lineage: Eukaryota; Metazoa; Chordata; Actinopteri; Anguilliformes; Anguillidae
Exons: 3
Source: RefSeq, a predicted model, not a curated record